UACCAAGAAAAACUGUCGAAUCCACAAGC
RNAcentral lists this non-coding RNA (29 nucleotides) under Bombyx mori (domestic silkworm). Lineage: Eukaryota; Metazoa; Arthropoda; Insecta; Lepidoptera; Bombycidae. The record is from RNAcentral.